CCUCUGUGUGCUCCUCUCCCUCUGACUGUCUGUGUGUUAGUGUGUGUGGUUCCUCUGUGUUGAUGAACGAUGAGAGGUCCCUACAAACGGAAGAACCGAGACUCUGAGGACCUCUCACCUGGUCCUGGUCCUGGUGAGAGCAGGACCAGCGGCCUACGGACAGGUGUGCGAUGCUUCAGCAGGAACAUGUACGUGGGCGUACGUGUCAGAAUGCCCGUUAAAGAGCUGCUGAAGAACAUCCGCGUGGCCAAGGGCGUUGACCCUCAACAAAUAAAGGAGAGAUGUGACAGUUCAGUGAAAGGAGAAAUGAAACGAGUGAAGAGUCGCUCCAAAGUGCAGAAGAUGAAGAUGAAGAUGAAGUGUGUGUGUGUAGUGUGUGUGUGUGUGUACUGUAGUGUGUGUGUGUGUGUGUGUACUGGAGUGUGUGUGUGCGAGAGUGUGUGUGUGUGUGUGUGUGUGUGCGGGAGGGGGUGUGUGUGUGUGUGUGUGGGUGUGCGUGUGUGUGUGUGUGUGUGUUCUCAGUGA
This 525-nucleotide long non-coding RNA is filed under the name Gouania willdenowi (blunt-snouted clingfish). RNAcentral describes it as "lncRNA (ENSGWIG00000010570.1)". The record is from RNAcentral. Lineage: Eukaryota; Metazoa; Chordata; Actinopteri; Blenniiformes; Gobiesocidae.